CCGUCNGGCGCUACGAGGUAGGCCUUAUACAUGCUGGUACGCGACGAGGCAGGCCAGCUUGCUCCAGCGUCGAACGGUGUCACGAGGGCGGCUCGCGAUUCGAACCUACCUGUUUGGGGGGAAUAGCCUUUAGAAAUGAAGAUUAAUGCCCCAUAGUAUUGUAGACUGGCAUCAGUUUACAAUUAAAGAUUUAUCGGUAAAAGAUGGCUAUGCGUCCUAUUAGUUAGUUGGUAAGGUAACGGCUUACCAAGACAUCGAUAGGUAGGGGUCCUGAGAGGGAGAUCCCCCACACUGGUACUGAGACACGGACCAGACUCCUACGGGAGGCAGCAGUGAGGAAUAUUGGGCAAUGGAGGAGACUCUGACCCAGCCAUGCCGCGUGUAGGAAGAAUGCCCUAUGGGUUGUAAACUACUUUUAUA
RNAcentral lists this ribosomal RNA (420 nucleotides) under uncultured Bacteroidota bacterium. RNAcentral describes it as "bacterial SSU rRNA". It matches the Rfam family "Bacterial small subunit ribosomal RNA", at positions 39 to 440 of the family's 1533-position model. Lineage: Bacteria; Pseudomonadati; Bacteroidota. The record is from RNAcentral.